This 700-nucleotide ribosomal RNA is filed under the name Pseudoperonospora cubensis. RNAcentral describes it as "LSU rRNA". It matches the Rfam family "Eukaryotic large subunit ribosomal RNA", at positions 442 to 1095 of the family's 3401-position model. Lineage: Eukaryota; Oomycota; Peronosporomycetes; Peronosporales; Peronosporaceae. The record is from RNAcentral.
CGAGGAGGUAGGGCUUACGCUUGCGUUUGUCUGUUAUAUCUUGGUGGACGAGUUGUCGCGGUUGGGACUGAGGUGCCUACAACGUGCUUUUGAGUGAGUUUGUGUCUCCGUGUGCGCCGUGUGUGGAUAGCUUGCUAUGUAUGUGCGGUUGUGUGUGGAUUGAUGCGGGCUUUAACUUGUUGCCGUUCGGGACGUUGGCGAAAUGGAGCGAUCCGACCCGUCUUGAAACACGGACCAAGGAGUCUAACAUGUGUGCAAGUGUUAGGGUGUGGAAACCCCAGCGCGAAAUGAAAGUGAAGGGCAGCGCAAGUUGUCUGAGGUAGGAAACGUUGUGGACUUCGGUCUGCGGCGUGGCACUAUCGACCGAUCAUGAACCUUCGUGGUGAAAGAUUUGAGUUUGAGCACAUAUGUUGGUACCCGAAAGAUGGUGAACUAUGCCUGAGUAGGGUGAAGCCAGGGGAAACUCUGGUGGAAGCUCGUAGCGAUUCUGACGUGCAAAUCGAUCGUCAAACUUGGGUAUAGGGGCGAAAGAAUAAUCGAACCAUCUAGUAGCUGGUUCCCUCCGAAAUUUCCCUCAGGAUAGCAGCAACUUAUUUACGAUAGUUUUAUGAGGUAAAGCGAAUGAUUAGAGGAUUCGGGGAAGAAACUUCCUCGACCUAUUCUCAAACUUUAAAUCUGUAAGACCUGCAGGUUUCUUAAU